CUUUUAAAGGCUAUUUUAUCUUCUGCGAGUAAAGUUUACAUUCCAUUAUUUUUAUUUCCCUUAGAAAUGUCCAGAAAUUGACAUUUGGAGGAAAUACUUUAGAAAAUUUAUUUUAAAUGUUACAGUGUAAUGAUCUAUUCAUUGUAUGUGCGGGGGUGUGUGUGCGCACAUGAGAGCCUGAAAUAAAAUUUUGGAAUUCUAAAUGUUUACUUUUUUUCAGCAUGACGUCUGGAAGUUCAGAGUCAGAUAUACCACAAGAAAACAAAGUAUCGCUAAGAAAACCUGAUAAUGAAGUUUUGCUUCAUUUAAUGGAGCUGUUUAUGAUACUGUUGCCCAAAGAGUGUCCCUCACUGGACCAUAUGAAAACAAUUUUUCUCUGGUUGGUGGGGACCCUUGAAUUUGGGAUAUGGGAAUCUUCAGGGCACCAAUUUCUACUUAACUGCCCUGUCUUCUAAGGAUGCUAAUCAACCAGCACCCUAGAGGUAACCCUCUCAUGGACGGUAUCUACACUGAAAAGGACAAGGUGCCAAUUACCUACUACCUUUAGGAUUUCUGCCAAGGGCUUCAAUUAGCUUCCUGGAGUUCAGAAUCCAUCCCCUUCCAAUUUACAAUGGGUAAGCUUGGGAUCCCUGGGGCUUGAAGGAACUGGUUGUGCUUCGGUUUCUGAUUUUUAAAAAAAUAUUUCUAAAGAAAUACAUUUAGCUGGAGGGAGUUGGGAUUAGAGACUCAAAGUGGUGGGGAUAUCCAUGAUUACUGCUGCCUUCUUCCACAACGCAGUCUCUUUUAAGUCAUGGAACUCACAGAGCACAGAACUCAGCAGAAUGGAUUCUGCUGUGAACCAUGAGGAACCGAAUUGCAGGUGGAUCUCAGUUGCCUCUUUUAAAUAAUUGCUUUUAGUUUUGGUCGAGAAGACAGAGAUGAGAAAAUCUUUUCAUGAAGAUUUCUUGACCACCAAGCAGAAUUAACCCCGCUCUCUCUGCCUUUGUGUCUUGGUGGUUCUUUAUUUGCCUUUACUGCACUAUUCUCUGAAUCUACUUUGACUUUUGAACUCUGUUGGUAAACUGUGCAUUCCUAGAGAAAGGACUGAGCUUUAUUAGUCUCUGGGACAAAAUUUCAGACAUCAAAAUGGCUCUCGAUCGAUAUCAUUUGAAAUAAAACAAACAGACUGAGCUCCAGGCGUAGUAGCAGGUGAUUGAAAUUCCCUGUCCCUCUGAAUCCGUAGAGCAGCCCAUGAGGGUGGUGUCUGGCAUCAUCAUUGUUAUAUUGAUAAUUUUCUUCCUAUUGUUAUAAUUACCAAUUUAGAAAUUAAGAAAUUGAGAUUCGGGGAGAUUCAAGGAGCUCCAGAAUGUUAAGUGAUCAAAGAAUAUGUGUUUACUUUAUCGCAGGAACCUGAUGGGAUAAUCCAGUAAGACUUUGUUUAAAUCCACUCUCAGGUGCCAGGUAGUCCCCAUUUAUCUCAACCCUAUCUAUUCUUUGGGCCUGCUGGAGAAUUAGAAUGUUAUUUAAACUAUUGCUUUUGCUGCAUUUUAACAUCUUCUGACAGAAUAGCUAGUGCAUAUAAAUUAUCUCAUUUGAAGCUGUUUAGGAAAUAAAAAUUCUAUUGCAAGAAGGGUUGGCCAAAAUAGGAUCACGACUGCUCCCUCUGAACUAUUUCUGAGAAUCUAGACACAUAGAAAUAAGCAAUGUAAAACAUAUAAUGUCAUUGGUUAUGUGGAGUGCCACAUCUAAAAGUAAGGCUAUGGGUAUGAAUUCAUUAGCUCUAGAAUAUAUAUGAAGUAUUUUACUCAGUGUGCAAAACUAGGCUUAUUAUAAAAUCCCAUAAGCCCUUUAGCUUUCAAGUAGUAAUUUAGUGAUCACUUUAUUAAAGAAUCACUAUUUUAAGUGCCAAAUAUAUGAAAGCACUUUUUGGUUUUUAAUUUGUAAGAUCAAAUAAUAGCCCACUAUAUAGGAAGUCAGCUUUAUAAAGUGACCUUAAAGUAGCUAAAACAUAUUAUAUUUGAUAAGUUGGGGAAAGCAAGCAGUGUCUUAUUUGUGUCAAAUUAUAUAAAUUCUGUUCUUCUUUUAAUACUUAGUGUAAUAUACUAUUAGUUUUGCUGGAAACAUACAUUUGGUCAUAUUUCUGGUAUCUAUAAAUUUUAACAUUCUAAGAUGACUUUCAAAAGAUUCUUUCCUUUGAUGAGCAAACUUUCAAAUCGUUAAUGAAUCAAGGUUAUCAAUAUAUCAUUUGUGUUUUAAAUAAGUGAUUUAAAGGAGGUAUCGCUGUUUAUUGUUAAGAUGAGAACAAUAUAAAAUUGUAUAUGUAUCUAUAUUUAAAUAAAGAUUUGUUGCUGUUCUGGGAAAUAGGUUAAUUUUUUUACCACUCUAAUAGGUAAGAAAUUACAUCUCAAAACUCUUUGUUUUGCCUUUCCUUUCUUUCUCUCUCUUUCAGCUUUACUAAGACAUAAUUGACACAUUUAAAGUAUACAAGUUGAUGAGUUUUGAUACCAUGUGAAGCUACCACCACAAUCAGGAUAAUGUGCCUAUCUACCACCCUCAAAAGUUACUCAUGCACCUUAGGAAUUCCCCCACCUGCCUCUCCCCACCUGCCCACACCCCUCAAGCAUUUCCUUGAGAUUUUUAUAAACGGAGACAUACAGAAUGUACCCUUUUUUACUGCUUUCUUUCACUUAGAAAAAUUGUUUUGAAAUUUAUCCAUGUUGUAGUGUGUAUCAAUAACUCAUUUUUAUUGCAGAAUAGUUUCCCGUUGUAUUGGAGGUACCAAUCUGUUUAUCCCUGCUGCAGAUUGGAUAUGGUUUGUUUGUCCCCAUCAAAUCUCAUGUUGAACUUUGAUCUCCAGUGUUAGAGGGAGUUCUAAUGGGAGGUGUUUGGGUCAUGGGGUUGCAUCCCUCAUGAAUAGAUUAACAUCCUCCCUUGGGGGUGAGUUCUCAAUAAGCUGAUUGUUAAAAAGAGUCUGACACCUGCCUGUGUUGUCUCCUUGCUUCUUCUCUCACCCUGUGAUAUCUGCACAUUCCUGUUCCUUCCACCAUUAGUGGAAGCAGUCUGAGAUCCUCCAGAAACUAAGCAGAUGCUGACACCAUGCUUCUUGUACAGCCUACAGAUCCAUCAGCUAAAUAAACCUCUUUUCUUUUCAAAUUACCAAGCCUCAGAUAUUCUUUUAUAGCAACACACAACAGACUAAGACAAUCCUUUGUCUGUUGACUGACAUUUAGAUUAUUUCCAG
This 3220-nucleotide long non-coding RNA is filed under the name Homo sapiens (human). Its description in RNAcentral is "HSALNT0329365". Lineage: Eukaryota; Metazoa; Chordata; Mammalia; Primates; Hominidae. The record is from RNAcentral.